Molecule: long non-coding RNA, 234 nt
Organism: Ruditapes philippinarum (Manila clam)
Lineage: Eukaryota; Metazoa; Mollusca; Bivalvia; Venerida; Veneridae
Exons: 3
Source: RefSeq, a predicted model, not a curated record
AAACCAAUAAAGUUGCACAAAAGAAAACAGGUCCUACAAAAUGUAUUGAAAAAGAACCGGAUUCUUUACAAGGAAAUAAAACCAAUAAGGUUGCACAAAAGAAAACAGCUCCUAUAGAACGUUAUGAAAAAGAACAUAAUUCUUUACAAGAAAAUAAAACCAAUAAGGUUGCACAAAAGAAUACAGGUCCUUCAAAAUGUAAUGAAAAAGAACCGGAUUCUUUACAGGAAAAUA